This 445-nucleotide ribosomal RNA is filed under the name uncultured bacterium. Its description in RNAcentral is "partial 16S ribosomal RNA". It matches the Rfam family "Bacterial small subunit ribosomal RNA", at positions 354 to 796 of the family's 1533-position model. The record is from RNAcentral.
GUGAGGAAUAUUGGUCAAUGGAGGCAACUCUGAACCAACCAAGUCGCGUGAAGGAUGAAGGUCUUAUGGAUUGUAAACUUCUUUUGCAAGGGAAUAAAGUGGGGGACGUGUCCUCCUUUGCAUGUACCUUGCGAAUAAGGAUCGGCUAACUCCGUGCCAGCAGCCGCGGUAAUACGGAGGAUACGAGCGUUAUCCGGAUUUAUUGGGUUUAAAGGGUGCGCAGGCGGGAUGUUAAGUCGGCGGUGAAAUUUUGCAGCUCAACUGUAAAAGUGCCUUCGAUACUGGCUUUCUUGAGUGUGGAUGAAGUAGGCGGAAUUUGUGGUGUAGCGGUGAAAUGCUUAGAUAUCACGAGGAACUCCGAUUGCGCAGGCAGCUUACUAAACCACUACUGACGCUCAUGCACGAAGGCGUGGGGAUCAAACAGGAUUAGAAACCCCAGUAGUCC